CGUGAGGGAAAGAUGAAAAGAACUUUGAAAAGAGAGUUAAAAAGUACCUGAAAUCGUUGAAAGGGAAGGGUUUGCAACUAGUGUGUUUUGGUCGUGUGUGUGUUUGUCUGUUUUGUGAGAGCAAGGCAGGUUUGCAGACGGACGACGUGUGUAUCUACAUGGGUUUGCUACGUCUGUGAGAGAGUUUGAGUGUGGUCUUCGGAGGCACUGAUUCGAUCAAAGAGACUGCAGACCGAGGAAGCAUUGCGAGUUGGUCCCCUUCGGGGGAGUGGUCGCAAAAGGAUGUAGAUGAAAUGGUUGUAAACCGCCCGUCUAGGAACACGGACCAAGGAGUCUGGCUCGCGCGCGA
This 349-nucleotide ribosomal RNA is filed under the name Vaucheria litorea. RNAcentral describes it as "partial Eukaryotic large subunit ribosomal RNA". It matches the Rfam family "Eukaryotic large subunit ribosomal RNA", at positions 352 to 689 of the family's 3401-position model. The record is from RNAcentral. Lineage: Eukaryota; Xanthophyceae; Vaucheriales; Vaucheriaceae.